GGGGGGGGGGGGGGGGGGGGGUGGGGGGGGGGGGGGGGGGGGGGGGAGGGGGGGGGUGGGUGUCUGAGGUUAGCGGCGGGCGGGGGAGGAGGGCGUUGAUAAGCUACAUAUGAGACUGGGAUAGCUUCGGGGAACCGGAGGUAGUACCGGGUCCUCUUUUGACCCGCAUGGUUCACAAGUGGUAGCCGGUCUUGCUGUGCCUUAUAGAUGGAGACGCGCUGCAUUUGCUAGUUUGUAAGGUAACGGCUUACAAAGGUAACGAUGCAUAGCCGACCUGAGAGGGUGAUCGGCCACACUGGAACUGAGACACGGUCCAGACUCCUACGGUAGGCAGCAGUAGGGAAUCUUCCGCAAUGGGCGAAAGCCUGACGGAGCAACGCCGCGUGAGUGAUGAAGGUCUUCGGAUCGUAAAACUCUGUUAUGAGGGAAGAACAUAUGUGUAAUUAACUGUGCACAUCUUGACGGUACCUAAGCAGAAAGCCACGGCUAACUACGUG
This 497-nucleotide ribosomal RNA is filed under the name uncultured bacterium. RNAcentral describes it as "partial 16S ribosomal RNA". It matches the Rfam family "Bacterial small subunit ribosomal RNA", at positions 27 to 507 of the family's 1533-position model. The record is from RNAcentral.